This 77-nucleotide transfer RNA is filed under the name Acidobacteriota bacterium. RNAcentral describes it as "Acidobacteria bacterium (hot springs metagenome) tRNA-Pro". It matches the Rfam family "tRNA". Rfam says of the family: Transfer RNA (tRNA) molecules are approximately 80 nucleotides in length. Their secondary structure includes four short double-helical elements and three loops (D, anti-codon, and T loops). The record is from RNAcentral. Lineage: Bacteria; Pseudomonadati; Acidobacteriota.
CGGGGCGUGGCGCAGUCUGGUAGCGCGUACGGUUCGGGACCGUAAGGUCGGAGGUUCGAAUCCUCUCGCCCCGACCA